UCUGGUAAUUAUGGCAAGAAGGACACACCCGUUCCCAUCCCGAACACGGAAGUUAAGCUUCUUGGGGGCUCUCCCCCUGCAAUU
Molecule: ribosomal RNA, 84 nt
Filed under: Bacillus obstructivus
Lineage: Bacteria; Bacillati; Bacillota; Bacilli; Caryophanales; Bacillaceae
Source: RNAcentral